Salvelinus fontinalis (brook trout) is the source of this 1378-nucleotide long non-coding RNA. RefSeq lists it as uncharacterized. The record is from RefSeq and is a predicted model, not a curated record. The transcript is spliced from 3 exons. Lineage: Eukaryota; Metazoa; Chordata; Actinopteri; Salmoniformes; Salmonidae.
UAUACAGGUUGUAUCCAGUCAGUAACUCCACUAUACAGGUUGUAUCCAGUCAGUAACAGGUUGUAUCCAGUCAGUAACUCCACUAUACAGGUUGUAUCCAGUCAGUAACUCCUCUAUACAGGUUGUAUCCAGUCAGUAACUCCUCUAUACAGGUUGUAUCCAGUCAGUAACUCCUCUAUACAGGUUGUAUCCAGUCAGUAACUCCACUAUACAGGUUGUAUCCAGUCAGUAACAGGUUGUAUCCAGUCAGUAACUCCACUAUACAGGUUGUAUCCAGUCAGUAACUCCUCUAUACAGGUUGUAUCCAGUCAGUAACUCCUCUAUACAGGUUGUAUCCAGUCAGUAACUCCACUAUACAGGUUGUAUCCAGUCAGUAACUCCUCUAUACAGGUUGUAUCCAGUCAGUAACUCUACUAUACAGGUUGUAUCCAGUCAGUAACUCCUCUAUACAGGUUGUAUCCAGUCAGUAACAGGUUGUAUCCAGUCAGUAACUCCACUAUACAGGUUGUAUCCAGUCAGUAACAGGUUGUAUCCAGUCAGUAACAGGUUGUAUCCAGUCAGUAACUCCACUAUACAGGUUGUAUCCAGUCAGUAACUCCUCUAUACAGGUUGUAUCCAGUCAGUAACAGGUUGUAUCCAGUCAGUAACAGGUUGUAUCCAGUCAGUAACUCCACUAUACAGGUUGUAUCCAGUCAGUAACAGGUUGUAUCCAGUCAGUAACAGGUUGUAUCCAGUCAGUAACUCCACUAUACAGGUUGUAUCCAGUCAGUAACUCCUCUAUACAGGUUGUAUCCAGUCAGUAACAGGUUGUAUCCAGUCAGUAACUCCACUAUACAGGUUGUAUCCAGUCAGUAACUCCUCUAUACAGGUUGUAUCCAGUCAGUAACUCCUCUAUACAGGUUGUAUCCAGUCAGUAACUCCACUAUACAGGUUGUAUCCAGUCAGUAACUCCACUAUACAGGUUGUAUCCAGUCAGUAACUCCUCUAUACAGGUUGUAUCCAUUCAGUAACAGGUUGUAUCCAGUCAGUAACUCCACUAUACAGGUUGUAUCCAGUCAGUAACUCCUCUAUACAGGUUGUAUCCAGUCAGUAACUCCACUAUACAGGUUGUAUCCAGUCAGUAACUGGUGGCAGUUAGGGUUUCCAAGUUGUCUUGAAUACAGCAACGCACACGCCAUUAUGGGGUAUUGUGAUGUCAUUAUGGGGUACUGUGAUGUCAUUAUGGGGUACUGUGAUGUCAUUAUGGGGUAUUGUGAUGUCAUUAUGGGGUAUUGUGUGUAGAUUGAGGUAAAACAACACAGUGGAAAAAGUGAAGUGGUCUGAAUUCUUUCUGAAUGAACGCAACAUAUAAGGGAAUCAGUCAAUAAAUAAAUGAGAC